This 241-nucleotide ribosomal RNA is filed under the name uncultured bacterium. RNAcentral describes it as "partial 16S ribosomal RNA". It matches the Rfam family "Bacterial small subunit ribosomal RNA", at positions 92 to 334 of the family's 1533-position model. The record is from RNAcentral.
CGAUCGGCGCACGGGUGAGUAACACGUAUCCAACCUGCCGAUGACUCGGGGAUAGCCUUUCGAAAGAAAGAUUAAUACCCGAUGGCAUAGUUCUUCCGCAUGGUAGAACUAUUAAAGGAUUUCGGUCAUCGAUGGGGAUGCGUUCCAUUAGGUUGUUGGCGGGGUAACGGCCCACCAAGCCUUCGAUGGAUAGGGGUUCUGAGAGGAAGGUCCCCCACAUUGGAACUGAGACACGGUCCAA